Molecule: ribosomal RNA, 450 nt
Filed under: uncultured bacterium
Lineage: Bacteria
Description: partial 16S ribosomal RNA
Rfam family: Bacterial small subunit ribosomal RNA
Source: RNAcentral
GUGGGGAAUAUUGGACAAUGGGCGAAAGCCUGAUCCAGCCAUGCCGCGUGUGUGAAGAAGGUCUUCGGAUUGUAAAGCACUUUAAGUUGGGAGGAAGGGCAGUAAGUUAAUACCUUGCUGUUUUGACGUUACCGACAGAAUAAGCACCGGCUAACUUCGUGCCAGCAGCCGCGGUAAUACGAAGGGUGCAAGCGUUAAUCGGAAUUACUGGGCGUAAAGCGCGCGUAGGUGGUUCAGCAAGUUGAAGGUGAAAUCCCCGGGCUCAACCUGGGGACUGCCUCCAAAACUGCAUGACUAGAGUACGGUAGAGGGUAGUGGAAUUUCCUGUGUAGCGGUGAAAUGCGUAGAUAUAGGAAGGAACACCAGUGGCGAAGGCGACUACCUGGACUGAUACUGACACUGAGGUGCGAAAGCGUGGGGAGCAAACAGGAUUAGAAACCCGGGUAGUCC